CUCACCUCAGCUAUCAGUAGGAGCUGAUAGAUAUGUCGUGGGGGGGCCUCUGCUGCCUGGCCUCUGUGUGGAGAACCUCCUUUUUCCAUCUUCUUGGGGGACUGUUGCUCCCCCUGGGACAGAGAGUCUCUCAGGUUCAGGCUAUUCCACUGUGGAUAAAUAAUGAAAGAAUGAUUGGAGCAGAGGAACUGGAUUCAGGGUGCUUCCUACCUUCCAUGUGAAUGUCCCACCACCAAACUGCAGAAUGUCUCUCUCUGGCCCAAUGUCUAAAGAGUCUCAGCACCUAACUUGGCUCAGUGGAUUGUAGCAAUGCUCCUAUGAUUUUCUUAGCAUGCAAAGG
Molecule: non-coding RNA, 340 nt
Organism: Pelodiscus sinensis (Chinese soft-shelled turtle)
Lineage: Eukaryota; Metazoa; Chordata; Testudines; Trionychidae
Source: RefSeq, a predicted model, not a curated record